RNAcentral lists this unclassified non-coding RNA (144 nucleotides) under uncultured fungus. Its description in RNAcentral is "sequence contains ITS1". The record is from RNAcentral. Lineage: Eukaryota; Fungi.
CAAAAGAACUUUGUUCUAACCCUUUGUGAACAUAUCUGUUGCCUCGGUGGAUGUCUCUGAUCUUCUUAGACUCUGAUUAUCCACCGAAGGACCCCCAAACUAUUUUUGAUAUAAAGCCAUUCUGAAUUCCAAUUUAAAGAAUCA